This 251-nucleotide ribosomal RNA is filed under the name uncultured bacterium. RNAcentral describes it as "partial 16S ribosomal RNA". It matches the Rfam family "Bacterial small subunit ribosomal RNA", at positions 526 to 776 of the family's 1533-position model. The record is from RNAcentral.
CGUAGGUGGCAAGCGUUGUCCGGAUUUACUGGGCGUAAAGAGCGCGCAGGCGGUCGUUCAAGUCGCGUGUGAAAGCCCCCGGCUCAACUGGGGAGGGUCACGCGAUACUGAUCGACUCGAAGGCAGGAGAGGGAAGUGGAAUUCCCGGUGUAGUGGUGAAAUGCGUAGAUAUCGGGAGGAACACCAGUGGCGAAGGCGACUUCCUGGCCUGUUCUUGACGCUGAGGCGCGAAAGCGUGGGGAGCAAACAGG